UACAGAGGUCUCAAGCGUUGUUCGGAUUCAUUGGGCGUAAAGGGUGCGUAGGUGGCGCCGUAAGUCAGGUGUGAAAUUUCGGAGCUUAACUCCGAAACUGCACUUGAUACUGCGGUGCUUGAGGACUGGAGAGGAGACUGGAAUUCACGGUGUAGCAGUGAAAUGCGUAGAUAUCGUAAGGAAGGCCGGUGGCGAAAGCGAGCCUCUGGACAGUUACUGACGCUGAUGCACGAAGGCCAGGGGAGCAAACGGG
This 253-nucleotide ribosomal RNA is filed under the name uncultured bacterium. RNAcentral describes it as "partial 16S ribosomal RNA". It matches the Rfam family "Bacterial small subunit ribosomal RNA", at positions 524 to 776 of the family's 1533-position model. The record is from RNAcentral.